This is a small nuclear RNA of Jaculus jaculus (lesser Egyptian jerboa), 107 nucleotides long. The record is from Ensembl. NCBI's taxonomy places the organism in Eukaryota, Metazoa, Chordata, Mammalia, Rodentia, Dipodidae.
GUGCUCACUUUGGAAGCACAUAUACUAAAACUGGGACGAUACAGAGAAGAUUAGCAUGGUCCCUGUGCAAGAAUGGCAUGCAAAUUCAUGAAGCAUUCUAUAUUAAA